CAUGUACUCUCUCCGUUCGAAAAUACUUGUCCGAGAAAUGAAUGUAUCUAGAUGUAUUUUAGUUUUAGAUACACCAUUUCUAUCAUUUUUGCGACAAGUAAUUCCGGACGGAGGGAGUAUUUG
This is a non-coding RNA of Hordeum vulgare subsp. vulgare (domesticated barley), 123 nucleotides long. The record is from Rfam. Lineage: Eukaryota; Viridiplantae; Streptophyta; Magnoliopsida; Poales; Poaceae.